This is a non-coding RNA of Phascolarctos cinereus (koala), 1229 nucleotides long. Lineage: Eukaryota; Metazoa; Chordata; Mammalia; Diprotodontia; Phascolarctidae. The record is from RefSeq and is a predicted model, not a curated record.
UGCUGCGGUUGGGGAGGUUUGGGUGGACGCCUUUAUGCCCCUAAUGCUUAGCAUGGUACCAUAGGUAUUAAGGAAGUACUUAAUAAAGGCUUGUGGACUUGACUUAAGAAGCCUCUCCAGGCCGGGAUCCUUCACUUAUCUAACUGGUCUUUGUUUAUCUAAGGCAAUAUCUCUAAGGCUUCUCACUGUGCUAUUUCCUCUCCUCUGAUCCAGAUGGUGGUAAAUUCACAGAAGCAGAGAAGACACAGUUAAGGGUUGCAAUGGCCCCAUGUGGGACUCGGAAAAGUGGGGUGCACACACCUGGGCCUUCAGCCCUAAGGGAAUCACUGUCAGGUUUGGAGGCCUUUGGGAGCCAAUUGUUAGAGCUUCUACUUAGAGACAGAGAGAGUCUAAUUAUCCUACUCCAUCCCUGAUGGUAUGAGCCCUGCAUCCUCUAUGGAGUGGUGGGGACGGAGAGGAAGGGAGAUAUGGGGAGAAGUACCCAGCAGGCUGUGUCCAACAUUCUUGGGGUAGGUCUUCAUUCUUUUGUAGCCACUGCAAAGUGUUCCCAGAGAUCCCUAGUCUUUCCCCCAUUAUAUGUGAAAUGAUUUUCUGGCAGUGUCCUGAGCACAAGCUAUGGAAUCAGAUACCUAGGCCUUUCCUCUGACUCCUCAGGAAUCCCUUUACUAAUUGGUGGGUCAUACAGUACCUCAGUUUUUCCAUCUGUUAAAAAUUGGGUCCAUAUUCCUUGUAAGAAAACUGAUUGUGAACUAAUGUCUUAACUCCUGAGGGCUACUUUUUGAAGCUGGUGAGGUGAAUAGCCACAGCUGGAGGGCAUUCAAAAGGCACUGACCCCCAAAGUCGAACAGAAUGACCUGAGAGGCCCAACCCAGCAGUACCUGAGACAGCUCAGAAUGAAGAGCUGUGCACCUCGGAAUCAUCAAUCAUGUCACAUAUGUGAGGGUGCCUGACGUGGCAAAUGAUAUGUAGAGCCUGCAUUAAGUUUGAGCCCGUGCAUCCAGCCACCAAAAUGGCAGAUGGUAAGUGAAAUGGAACUGGACACUGAUCCCUGGCAGUUAACAGCUGAGGAAAGACACCUCCAAGGUCAUUAGGGAAAGGCUUCCCAAGCCCGGAGUGCCCCUGGAACCCAGAGGAGGAGAGUAGCUGGGGAGGGUAAGCUCAGCCUGGAGCUGCAGUUGGAGGAGGCAGCUCCUGAUCCACUUGUAGAUGUGAGGAGCUGCACUGCAGAA